AAGUUGCCUGAGAAGUAAUAUGGCCAAAUGUGGUGUAGACCCUACAAUGGAAGUUAAAUUUGUACCAGAGGAGAUGGUGGUGCUGUUGAUACCCCAAAUAAAGGCCUAAGAAGCAGCCUCAGAAGCAAAGUCUCUCUAUGGCCUCCUCCUGCCCUCCUGUCUCUCAUCCAUCAUCCUCACCCAAGGCAAGCCAUAGAAACUAGAAUAUCCUCUUCCCAAGGAUAGUUCUAGGCUAGAGUUGGAAAGAGGGUGCUUAUGACCAAGGGUGUAGAGAAGACCAUGGGGAAGAGAAUGUUUGUGCUCAUAUCUGUCUGGAGAAGAUUCUGGACCCAAAAUAGAGGUGGCUCUGAAGGCUGGAGGGACACUUUCUUACAGGCUCACAUUAGCCACUGACUCUGUUAGUGAUCAUCUCACCAAAGGCCUCAGAGAAGCAUCAAUAAUCAGGUACAGGGAUCAAGACAUGGGUAAGAAGAAGAUUCAAGGAAAGAAAGGUAAGGUGAUGAGUACCUAUUGGGUGUCAGAUAUAACUAAUAAUUUUAAAUGUACUGUCUUAAUUUUCUCAGCCACUCUGGAAGAUGGCUAUUAUUAUUCUCCAUUUUGCAGAUGAGAAAACUGAGGUGUGGAAAGUUACCUGACUUGCUCAAUAUAAGACAGCUGGAAAGCUGAGGAGGCAGGAUUCUAACUUAAGUCUGACUGAUGUCAAAAUCCCAAGCCCAGUGACUUCCACCCUAUGGGACGGACAAAGGGGAGCAGGUACGCAGAAAGGCAGAGAGCAGCUGAAUUGCCAGUUGUUUUGAAUGCUCUGGGAAAAGAGGGGAGAUAUAAUCUGAAAAACUAACAUUUACAACAUGCAAAACAGCGCCCGAGGGGCAAGUUGACAGCCCUUUUCCGUCUCAGCACCUCUUCAGACAUGUUGGCUCUUGAGCAGGACACGUUUUAAAUGUUCACAGAGGCCAUGUCUAAGAUGAGCCCAUAGUUAAGAUGGUGUUUUAUUGGCAGCCGUUCUGCACCCAGUGCUACCUUAGCCGAUCCACAUAAUCCUCCCUUCUGUGGCUAAGUGGAAAUCAGUUAUAAUCACUUAAGCACGUUGCUCAGAUUUUUGUAAAUGAAAAUUUCUGAGUAAAAAAAUUAAAUAUAUUCUUCAGUUCUGGUGUUGUCACUAAUGGUCUCAUUCAGUUUGAGCUGUGAUAAUAUCAUAGAUGGGGUGACUUAAACAACAGACAUCUGUUUCUCACAGUUCCAGAGGCUGAGAAGUCCAAGAUCAAGGUGCUGGCAGAUUCAGUUUUUAGUGAGGGCCCUCUUUCUGGUUUGUAGAUGGCUGAUUACUUGCUGUAUCCUCAUGUGGCAGAGAAAGAGCUGUUGAUCACUUCUUAUAGGAAUGCUAAUUCUAACAUGGGGCUGCUAUAUUGUGACCUUAUCUAAACCUAAUUACCCCCCAAGACCCCACCUCCUAAUACCAUCACAUUAGGGUUAGAGUUUCAAUGUAUAAAGUUCAGGGAACACAAGCAUUUAUUCUAUAACAUUAACAAUAACAAAAUCAUGCACAUAUAUGAAGAGUUUAGCAGUUGGCAAAGUAAGUUCACAUAAAUCACCUUAUUUGAAAUUCAUAGUUUUAUCUGUGAGUUGGCUAUUUUUACUUUCC
Non-coding RNA from Microcebus murinus (gray mouse lemur), 1642 nucleotides. The record is from RefSeq and is a predicted model, not a curated record. NCBI's taxonomy places the organism in Eukaryota, Metazoa, Chordata, Mammalia, Primates, Cheirogaleidae.